This 2904-nucleotide ribosomal RNA is filed under the name Triticum aestivum (bread wheat). RNAcentral's name for it is "partial small subunit ribosomal RNA". Lineage: Eukaryota; Viridiplantae; Streptophyta; Magnoliopsida; Poales; Poaceae. The record is from RNAcentral.
AUGUCGUCGGGCGUGGACGAGAGGGAGCCGCCGCCUGAUGAACUGCUCCCGAUGGGAUUUGCGUCUAUGGCUAGGUUUACGUACGUGGCUGGUGCUGCUCGGUACGCGACACCUGAAGUGCUAGAAGCGUGGUGUACUAGAUGUAAAGAGCCAUGGUCGUGGUACUACCUGCAGCGGAUGACUCACAACUACCAGUCGUACCGCCGAGCUGCCCACCCAUGUGAAAGAAGUUUUGGGUUCGGAGUACCCGUAGUGCUGCAUAUCAACGAUGGAGCCGCGUCGAGCUCGGGUGAGGAGGUGAUCCAUCAUUCUUUUCUUCGGUGGCUGAUGUGGUGGUGCCGGAGGCAGCCGUAUCUGCAACAACCUCCGCUCCCACCUCCCCCAUUAUCUGCAACAACCUCCGAUCCAACUGGCCUAGCCGGCUCCAAUGCUGAUUCUGCACUCAUAUUCCAUUCCAGAGCCGCCGCCCUGUUCACCGGCGGUAACGGAGCCGCCGUCCUCACCCACGGGAACGGAGCCGCCGGCGACCGCCCAUCCGGUCUGCGGAAUACGACGUCACUGCUUGUUCUGCAUCCACAUGUUGGAUUGAAGCAUCGUGAUCCACCUCUGUAUGCUCGUCGCCGGCGUCGAACUCUCUCCAACGACACCCUCCUGACCGGCGCGAUUGGAGCCGCCAGCCACACCCAGCCACCCAGGGGAUCAGAGCCAACGGCCAGCACCCUCCUGGCCUGUUCAAUACGGCGGUACUGCUUCCUCUUCAUCCACCUAUUCGCAUCACGAAUCAUGCAGUACAUACCACGUGUUGUUCACAUUAACGACAAUAGAGAAAAUUUAGCUUUUUUGGACGAACUCAGUGUGAAACAUGCACAUAUGAGGUUAAUGUGCUCACCGAUAAGGUUCGCGCAAAUGAUCGAUGGAUUAGAUGACAAGCACCUAAAGGUCAUCUGCACUCAAACUGGUCUUGGAGGGCUAACAAAGAUGAAGUCAGUGUCCCUCCGACGUAUUAUGUUGGUGCUGCUAGCAAAGAGCUACAUCCACGACAUGCAGAGUAUUCACAUUGCUUCACCCACGGUACAGGAUUAUGUCGACUCCAAAUAUUUCGUCCUUGUUGAAGACGUCGCAAGAAUUCCCAAAUUUAACUGGGGAUGUUUCACACUGAACCAUUUGAUAACAUCCAUCAAUACUUUUAAUUAUAAGGAUCAAGUCAAUCUACAAGGAAAUCUAGCUUUGCUCCAAUUUUGGUAUUGGGAACAUGUCCGUGCUGGAUCGAUUUUGUAUUCUCGUAUACCCCGUCCGCUGAUGGCACGGUGGGAUGAAGCCACAGUACUGAUUCUAUAUAUCUUUUCAAAGGUUGUCAUGAGCAUUGGCGAUCUGGAGCCAACCAACAUUACAAAUGACCAGCAUACCAAGAAAGGUACACAUGCGCAUGAAGAUGCUAUCUAUCGACCACAACCACGAGGUCAAACUAUGAGUAGCCAACAAAUGGACAUGAUACUUCAAACACAGAACGAUCUAUUUGCAGAACAAGAGAAAAAGUUGGUCAAACAAGUUGUAGAAGUAGAGCACAAAUUAGAUAAAAGAAUAAUCACCGUGACCGAGGACGUGAUAAACAUAAGGGGUAAAAUUGCCACUCAACCUAGGUUGUCCAAGCUGGAGGACGAAGUUGGAGACCUCAAAAGGGUAGUUGGAGACCUGAAAAGGGAACUCCAGGAAUUAAGAUUGCUAGGUGAAACAAACAAACAAUCAACGACAAAGAAUGCAUACGUACAGGAACAAGAGCAACCAAGCAAUGGCAAGUUUUCAUCAACUCCUGGGUUUGACGCAUGGAAAGCACGAAUUUCUGCUGGUAGACCUAGUGCAAAACCUGUGGUGCAAAACAAGGAGUUGGACCAAGACAUCCCACCACGGAAGCCUGUAUUCAACAAUGAUUACGUAUUGAUAGAUGAAGACUAUGAGGCUGCACUUUUCAUCCGAGAGAGUCACGACCUUGUUGAGGUAGUUCACAUCGAAGACAUUGUGCUAACAGUUCAUCAACUCAAGCCAAAUGUUAGCAAACUAUUCUUCGUCGAUGACGUUAUUAAUGCAUAUGCACACAUUAGCAAUGUUGCAACUGAUGCUACACCAUUCAUUUCCACCGUAGAAAGCAAAAGAUUGCUAGGCGAAUUUGGGGGUAUUCCAAUGGGAUGCAAAAGCCCAGAUGUUGCUAAUGUAGCAACGAAAUUUGUAGGACGCAGAAUGGUACGUGUCCCAAUGAAUGUGCACCGCAUGCACUGGUUACUACUCGUGUUUAAUUUAGACAAAGAAGAGAUCCAGGUCCUAAACUCCAACCAAGCAUAUCGUGACAUUGCCAAGGAAACUGCACUGGUGGAGUCCAUUCAGGCGUGUAUCAAUGAAGCGGUCGAGGAUGGCUUGGUAACACCGCCUAAACCCAUCAAUAUUACCCAGUGGAAAACCACUUGCUAUACUAACAUACCACAACAAACGGAUGGUUAUUCCUGUGGGGCGUACACACUCAAAUACAUGUUGACAUGGGACGGAGAUAAAAUUACCGAGGAUUUCACACAGCUGGAAAAUAUGUUCAAACUACUGCGUUCAGAUUGCAACAAGCUUCAGAAAAGUUCAUACAAGAAUCCUAUAACGAGGGACGAGUAUGAAGCCAGCAUUCCAGAGGAACGAAAAGGUGAAGACGACGACGUCACGAUUAUCACCGACCCUGAUGUUACAAAGAAAGCAGACACAUCCGGUGCCCCAAAGCGUAAACGUGGACGCCCGAGGAAGAAUGCCCCUCCUAGUAAUCCAGUGAAACAACGAUUUGACACCGAGACUAUCGCUAAACAAGUGGAGUUGCAAAGACGCAAGCGCAAACCAUCAAACGUCGUGUCCAGCCCAUUCGUAAAGCCAUGA